CUGGCACAGCUCCACUGCCAGGGCACCCAGAUCCAGCACCCAGACUGGCACAGCUCCACUGCCAGGGCACCCAGACACCCAGGGCACCUUUAAACCCAAGAAGGGCACUGGGUGGGAUCUGAGGUCCCUUUGAGCCCAAAGGGACACUGGGUGGGAUUUGAGGUCCCUGGGUGGGAUUUAGGGUCCCUUUGAUCCCCAAAAGGGCACUGUGGGGGAUUUAGGGUCCCUUUCAGCACCAAAAGGACCCUGGGUGGGAUUUGAGGUCCCUGGGUGGGAUUUGAGGACCCUUUGAUCCCCAAAAGGCACUGGGUGGGAUUUAGGGUCUCUUUGAUCCCCAAAAGGGCCCUGGGUGGGAUUUGGGGUCCCUGGGUGGGAUCUGGGGUCCCUCUCAGCCCACACCAUCCCAGGACUCCACGGGAUCAAGGAGUCAAACCCCAACACACACAGUGACACAGUGACA
RNAcentral lists this long non-coding RNA (460 nucleotides) under Zonotrichia albicollis (white-throated sparrow). Its description in RNAcentral is "lncRNA (ENSZALG00000000144.1)". The record is from RNAcentral. Lineage: Eukaryota; Metazoa; Chordata; Aves; Passeriformes; Passerellidae.